Molecule: small nuclear RNA, 246 nt
Filed under: Erinaceus europaeus (western European hedgehog)
Lineage: Eukaryota; Metazoa; Chordata; Mammalia; Eulipotyphla; Erinaceidae
Description: 7SK RNA
Rfam family: 7SK RNA
About the family: 7SK was discovered as an abundant small nuclear RNA in the mid-70s but a possible function has only recently been suggested. Two independent studies have found that 7SK RNA binds the CDK9/cyclin T complex (known as elongation factor P-TEFb).
Source: Rfam by way of RNAcentral
GGAUGUGAAGGUGAUCUGGCUGCAACAUCUGUCACCUCACUGAUCAACAGGGUUGAUUUGGCUGAUCUGGCUGGCGAGGUGGGUGUCUCCUUCCUCCCUCACCACUCCAUGUCCAUCCCUCAUGUGUGUGUGUGUGUGUGUGUGUGUGUGUGUGUGUGUGUGUGUAGAUCCUUACAAAUUUCUCGACAAGUUAGUAACCUUCAAAAAAAGUCGACUCAAUUAAAAUCACUCAUCACAGGAGUCGGG